RNAcentral lists this transfer RNA (56 nucleotides) under Brookesia antoetrae. RNAcentral's name for it is "tRNA-Cys". The record is from RNAcentral. Lineage: Eukaryota; Metazoa; Chordata; Lepidosauria; Squamata; Chamaeleonidae.
AAGUCUGGGGUACUUUUAUAUACCUAAUCCAAAUUUGCAUUUCGGAACUCCAAACU